Suncus etruscus (white-toothed pygmy shrew) is the source of this 133-nucleotide small nucleolar RNA. RefSeq annotates it as small nucleolar RNA SNORA51. NCBI's taxonomy places the organism in Eukaryota, Metazoa, Chordata, Mammalia, Eulipotyphla, Soricidae. The transcript has a single exon. The record is from RefSeq and is a predicted model, not a curated record.
AGCCUCCCAAUUCUUAGCACAGGCUGUGUUCUUUACACUGAUUGUAUAGAAAGAGGAGGUACAGUAAAUGCACCUCAUAUACACCGUAACACAGGUCCUUUGCCUGGUCUGUAUUGUGAAUUGGGGGUCAAAA